AUCAUCAUCGUCAUCAGAAAACGAUGCGAUAUGAUGUAUUGCCUGUCGCAGGGAUCCUGCGACUGGGAUCCUCUUCAUCAGUCUUCAGCAAAAGCACGUGGGAGAGUUGGAAAUUGAUGAAUUUAACAUUCACUGACGCAAAUUUGACGAGUACCGUGCCAGACGAAGAGAAUUUCCUGCCAGAUUUACUCUCGAUCGAAGAAAAUUGUCACCGUUCAAAGUGACCGACCGGCGAGGUGAUCUUGAUCAACAUCCCUUCCCCCUCCCCACGAUCGUCUGUUUUUCUCCGAUUUCUGCGAAAAUUACGAAUUUCAAGCUACUGUAGCUGUAGAUGUACUUACACUUGAAGAACGACCUACCCAUCAUGUUCGCGACCAGUUUCGACUUUCGAUGACGUAAAUAUUACGGUAAUUUGCAUAUUUCGUCACUUCCCCGGAACGGGUGGAAAUAUAGGAGGAAAAAUACCUAAUCAGGUUUUUGGCGUGUGUUCGACUCAAUUCGACGAUACAGGUAUGUUGCCUACCCCACGAGGAAGCAUGGAAGAAGAUGCACACGAAAGGCUAGAUAACUAUAGGUAUAAGCUUCAGCUUCAGCUUCCACUUGGUCAGUUCGCUUCGAUCGUCGAGAUAAUCGUGUUAAAUGGAUGAUUUUCACUGCCCCGAAGGCUACGAUUCGUUUAUUGUGGAUGAAGGAAGAAGUCCGAUUACACGAGCUGGAGCAAGAGCAAGAGCGUACUCAUUGUCAGUACAACGAGCCACAUGCUUAUCUACCUGUUCAAGUGUUCAUAUAGGAUAGGUGGAGAUUUCACCACACGAUCAUUCGUAUUCGCCAAAAGACACUGUUCCAAGAACCCGAGAACCACACCAAUGAUUUUCUAAAUUCUCUGCAGCUAAAGCCCGAAGCUUCAAGUUUUCAUAUAAUCACCGCAACACGUGCAAAUUAAAGCGAACCCAUAGCUCUGUAUAGUUCGCGUCCAAGUUCAAUAAUUCCGUAUACAUAUUUCAAUAUAUUCUCUAAUUAAGCAGGCUUUCGCGAUGUAGGUAGAUCUCGAGGUAGUAACUACCAAUAACCGACGACUAACAAACUAACAAGUGCUUAUCUUUUCGCAAGUAUAUGGAAAUCACGUCGUAAAUUCUCAACUUGGCGAUACACCUGUGGCUUUUUUUAUAGCCCGAAGCGGCCUGAACCUGCCAACCGGCGAACCGGCGAUACAUUGUGAAUAUUCUCACAUAAAUAGGUAUAUUGUACCGUUCCAUUCACGGCUCGUGACGUUUUUAAUUGACGACGCAGGACGCAGCAGCGGCGAGAGGAGGAAAGAAAAUCAAAACACAAAUAUCUAUCAAACCAAAGACACACGGGUAAGAUUAAUUUAAGAAAAAAUUUGAACGGAAAUUGAAAUAAACUGAUCCUUAAUUGACGAGGUGUUGCGAACUUGGAUUCUUCCAUGUGAGGUGAAAAGAUCAAGUAAUCGAGUUGUUUUUUCAUCCUUUUGUUUUCACUAGUCCUAGUCGUACGUACAACCUACGUGCCAGUGUUGUCUUGUUUACUUGUCAUUGGUUUAUUUGAUCUUCCAUUUCGUGUUUCUCGAAUCUUGAAGAUAACCUCAAGUGCGAUAGAAAAAAUAUCAAAAUUAAGUACCUAUACGUAGCUAGUGUUCAGUCUGCAUAUUUAUUAUUUGAAGGAUUGUUGUGAAGGAGUGUUACACUUACAACUCUUCUUUCUAACUACGAAAUUGAUGGAUUUUGGAAAAAGAGGAAUCGAAGAAGGCAUGAUAUGAAAAUAAUGCUGUUGUAAGUUGAUGAACUUGAAAAAGGAUCGUAUUUUUUCUCCUCAGUUGGGUCUCGAGCUCAGGCAAAGUAAUCGCUUUCAGUUCAGCUCACAAGGGAACCGGUUGAGGUGUCACACUUCGAUUUGAACGGGACCGUGAUUUUUGGAAAGAGCAUAGUCUAAAACCCCCAAAACCAAAUUUUCAGCUGUCCAAGUUCAUUUU
This is a long non-coding RNA of Planococcus citri (citrus mealybug), 1990 nucleotides long. RefSeq lists it as uncharacterized. The record is from RefSeq and is a predicted model, not a curated record. NCBI's taxonomy places the organism in Eukaryota, Metazoa, Arthropoda, Insecta, Hemiptera, Pseudococcidae. The transcript is spliced from 6 exons.